This 74-nucleotide transfer RNA is filed under the name bioreactor metagenome. RNAcentral describes it as "tRNA-Val". It matches the Rfam family "tRNA". From Rfam's summary of the family: Transfer RNA (tRNA) molecules are approximately 80 nucleotides in length. Their secondary structure includes four short double-helical elements and three loops (D, anti-codon, and T loops). The record is from RNAcentral.
UGGGAUCGUAACUCAGCGGGAGAGUGCUACCUUGACAUGGUAGAAGUCGUUGGUUCAAACCCAAUCGAUCCCAA